CUGGCUCAGAUUGAACCGCUGGCGGCAUGCCUUACACAUGCAAGUCGAACGGUAACAGGGAGCUUGCUCCGCUGACGAGUGGCGAACGGGUGAGUAAUAUAUCGGAACGUACCUUUGAGUGGGGGAUAACUAGUCGAAAGAUUAGCUAAUACCGCAUACGAUCUACGGAUGAAAGUGGGGGAUCGCAAGACCUCAUGCUCAUAGAGCGGCCGAUAUCUGAUUAGCUAGUUGGUGAGGUAAAGGCUCACCAAGGCUUCGAUCAGUAGCUGGUCUGAGAGGACGACCAGCCACACUGGGACUGAGACACGGCCCAGACUCCUACGGGAGGCAGCAGUGGGGAAUUUUGGACAAUGGGGGCAACCCUGAUCCAGCAAUGCCGCGUGAGUGAAGAAGGCCUUCGGGUUGUAAAGCUCUUUUGUCAGGGAAGAAACGGGAUGUCCUAAUACGAUGUCCUAAUGACGGUACCUGAAGAAUAAGCACCGGCUAACUACGUGCCAGCAGCCGCGGUAAUACGUAGGGUGCAAGCGUUAAUCGGAAUUACUGGGCGUAAAGCGUGCGCAGGCGGUUAUGUAAGACAGGUGUGAAAUCCCCGGGCUUAACCUGGGAAUGGCAUUUGUGACUGCAUAGCUAGAGUGUGUCAGAGGGGGGUAGAAUUCCACGUGUAGCAGUGAAAUGCGUAGAGAUGUGGAGGAAUACCGAUGGCGAAGGCAGCCCCCUGGGAAACACCUGACGCUCAGCACCAAAAGGGUGGGGGGAAGCAAACCAGGGAUUAGAAUCCCCUGGGUAGUCCCACCCCCCUAAAACGAUUGUCGUACAGUUUGUCGGGGGUCC
RNAcentral lists this ribosomal RNA (831 nucleotides) under Collimonas pratensis. Its description in RNAcentral is "bacterial SSU rRNA". It matches the Rfam family "Bacterial small subunit ribosomal RNA", at positions 19 to 834 of the family's 1533-position model. Lineage: Bacteria; Pseudomonadati; Pseudomonadota; Betaproteobacteria; Burkholderiales; Oxalobacteraceae. The record is from RNAcentral.